GAAGCCCUCAGGAAGCCCAAGCGGGCCACGCUGCCUGACACUCUGACUGUUGCCCUGUGGACGCAAGUCAGAGGAACCAUCGCUUCAAGCAUGAUGUCCAUACAUAACCAUGUUCAAGGCAGGAAGAAGGAACAGGGACAAAAGGGAUGGGAAGGAGAAUGCAGCCCAUUGACUUUGGAGGCUUUGAAGGACCCCUGACUGCAGCCCUGGACAUGAGUGCCUAGCAAUAAGGAUCAGGCAAGAAGCU
Molecule: long non-coding RNA, 247 nt
Organism: Neogale vison (American mink)
Lineage: Eukaryota; Metazoa; Chordata; Mammalia; Carnivora; Mustelidae
Exons: 3
Source: RefSeq, a predicted model, not a curated record